Felis catus (domestic cat) is the source of this 549-nucleotide long non-coding RNA. RefSeq lists it as uncharacterized. The record is from RefSeq and is a predicted model, not a curated record. The transcript has 2 exons. NCBI's taxonomy places the organism in Eukaryota, Metazoa, Chordata, Mammalia, Carnivora, Felidae.
CUCUCAAAUAUAAACAUUAAAAAAAUUUAUUCAAUUUGGUGGGUGAGGGAAGGGGUCUUAAAAAAUAUAAUAAAAGCCUCCAAAUACAAAGUUUGGCAUAGGACUCAGAGGGUUCCUGCCAGUGAGGCUCUGCUAUUGUGUCAUCGCCUUCAGGUAAAAUCUAUCACAAUUGCCCUGUUCCUCCUUCUGGGCAGGACCAUGCUGGGGCAUCAUCCCCUCUGGGCCCCAUUUCCUCCAUGCCCCCAGUACUGGCCCAACGUAAUCACAAGGAUCCUUAGAAACAGAAGAGGGAGGCAGAAGGGCAGGAGAGUCCGAGAGGGCGGCAGGAGAAGGAAUCAGCCACACAUUGCUGGCUUUGAAUAUUCUGAGGGGUAUGAACUAAGGAAUGCAGAGUCUUCUAGCUACAAAAAGCCAAGGCAACGGAAUCUCCCCUAGAGUCUCCAGGAAGGAACACGGUGCUGCUGACACCUUGGCUUUAGACCAGUGAGCCCACAUCCGACUUCUGACCUACAGAACUAUAAGAUAAUAAAUUUGUGUUGUUUCACACCA